Pelodiscus sinensis (Chinese soft-shelled turtle) is the source of this 783-nucleotide non-coding RNA. NCBI's taxonomy places the organism in Eukaryota, Metazoa, Chordata, Testudines, Trionychidae. The record is from RefSeq and is a predicted model, not a curated record.
UGUGAGAAGUGAGUUACUUUACGUCUGGUUACCAUUAUUUUUGGAACAGAUGGGGACGAACCCUUUGCAAGCUUCCUCGUUCAAACCAGCCAAACUUGCUGCUAAUUUGCAAUGUGCUGCAGUUCAACUGCUUUCUUAUUCCAUCUGCAGCCAGCCACAACCUUGAUGACCUGCACCACCACUUGGGACUUGUGCCAAGCAAUUGCUGCUUAUAAAUCUUCAGAUUUGAAAUAUGCAUCCAAUCAAUAAUUGGGAGGAGGGGUCAGCAUAUGGAGACUGUAACAAACAAAAUCAAGUCAUCAGCCAGGAGUAUUUUCACCGUACAGAAACAGUCUCCAAUUAUGCAAAAGUCAUCAACUAAGAAGACCUGUUUUUAAAUAUUUGUGUUUGUCUUGCAUCUCUGCACCAGAAAUGUAUACCCAUAACAUUCUUCCUGGAGUAUCCACACUGCUUCUGGUAAGGUCUCAGAACCAUCACCACCACCCUGCCACACUAUUGGAUUUUAUGAAAUUAAUGGACAAAGGAGAAAAUAUUUUUCAUAGCCUUCUGUUAACUAAAAUGUCAGUUAAUCACAUCCCCGAGACAUUAAAGGGUCCUGUGCUCAGUCAGGCCCAGAACCAAGGAUGGAAUAACCCAGGUCUUCGAAGUUUCAAACCAGCGGCCCAUCUGCUGGACUGGACUGCCACAUCGUAUUAGUGCAGAGAGGUCUCGAAGAACAUAACAGAUGCCCUAUCCCGUUGUGUGGCAGAGGAAUGGCUUCCGGUACCGAAGGAGGAAAAUCUA